This 460-nucleotide ribosomal RNA is filed under the name uncultured bacterium. Its description in RNAcentral is "partial 16S ribosomal RNA". It matches the Rfam family "Bacterial small subunit ribosomal RNA", at positions 338 to 795 of the family's 1533-position model. The record is from RNAcentral.
CCUACGGGAGGCUGCAGUGAGGAAUAUUGGUCAAUGGACGAGAGUCUGAACCAGCCAAGUAGCGUGAAGGAUGACUGCCCUAUGGGUUGUAAACUUCUUUUAUAUGGGAAUAAAAUGUUCCACGUGUGGGAUUUUGUAUGUACCAUAUGAAUAAGGAUCGGCUAACUCCGUGCCAGCAGCCGCGGUAAUAAGGAGGAUCCGAGCGUUAGCCGGAUUUAUUGGGUUUAAAGGGAGCGUAGGUGGAUUGUUAAGUCAGUUGUGAAAGUUUGCGGCUCAACCGUAAAAUUGCAGUUGAAACUGGCAGUCUUGAGUACAGUAGAGGUGGGCGGAAUUCGGGGUGUAGCGGUGAAAUGCUUAGAUAUCACGAAGAACUCCGAUUGCGAAGGCAGUUCACUGGACUGCAACUGACACUGAGGCUCGAAAGUGUGGGUAUCAAACAGGAUUAGAUACCCUAGUAGUC